UUUCGGGCGGUAACUACGCCUUCGGCUGUCCGCGGUAGGCUGCCCGGAGUCGGAAUUUUGUCUGCAGAAAAUCUGGCCGUGGUCAGUCGAGCCAGGGAGCCUUUACCGAGGCAGCGCGCAGACCCAGCAGCCUCAGUGGCACAGCCAGGCUCCUUCCCUGGAAAUACACUCAGCAUCAAGCCCCCAUAGCUUGGAACUGUGUCUGGGUAACUCUUAGAUCCUCUGAAGAGAAUUGCUGGCUUAAAGAGGAAAUGUUUUUGUAAAUGUGAUAAAUAUUGAAAGUUGGCCUUUAAAGAGUGGUCCAUUCUGCACUCCCAUCAGCAGCAUAUGAGAGUAUGCAGGCCUCUCACUGUUGUGGCCUCUCCCAUUGCGGAGCACAGGCUCCGGACGUGCAGGCUCAGCGGCCAUGGCUCACGGGCCCAGCUGCUCCACAGCAUGUGGGAUCUUCCCGGACCGGGUCACGAACCCACAUCCGCUGCAUCGGCAGGCGAACUCUCAACCACUGCGCCACCAGGGAAGCCCUCUUUGCUUUUUUUUAACCUUAUUAUGAAUGUAGUUAUUUUGCAUGUAUUCUUUUGUGACUAAUUAUUUUUCCAUUUAACACUGUUUCUAAGAGUAAUCCAAAUUUAUGCAUGUAGCUAUAGUUCAUUCCUUUUCACUGCCAUAUAAUAUUUUGUAUUAGAAAUACAACACACUUGAGUUAUCUGCUAUAUUGUUUACUAUUAUGAACUAAACUUGCCAGCAUUCUCAAACAUGUGCAAAAGUUUCUCUGGCUAAUAUGCCUAGAGGUGGUGUUAUAGACUGAAUUGGGUUUCCCCAAAAUUCAAAUGUUGAAGCCCUUACUCCUAAUACCUCCCAAUAUCUCAGAAUGUGACUGCAUUUGGAGAUAGGGUCUUUAUUAAUAAAGAGGUAAUUAAGUUAAAAUGAGACCUUUGAUGGUGGUGGGGUGAUGGGGGUGCCCUAGUCUGGUCUGAUUGUUGUCCUUAUAAGAAGAGGAGAUUAGGACAUACAGAGAAACGCUGGACAUGUGCAUGCAGAGAAGAAAGGCCAGUGAAGACACUGCAAGAAGACAUCUGCAAUGCCUGGGAAGAAACCACACUUUAUUCUUGGACUUCUAGCCUCCAAAACUCAGAAAAUAAAUUGGUGUCUAAUCCACCCAGUCUCUAGUAUUUUUGUUAUGGCAACCCUAGCAAACAAAUACAGUUAGAAUUGCUAGAUGGUAGGAUUAUGCACAAGUUCAGUUUAGUUAGUAACGCCAAUAUUUUUUUAAAGUACUUGGACCGAUUUACAAUCCUACUGGCAUGUAUGAGAAUUCUUGUUCUACAUCCUCACCCAAACCUGAUAUUGUCAGACUUUACUUUCUCCAGUCUGUUGGAAAGGAAUGGAAUCUUAUUGUCAUAUUAAUUGCAUUUUCCUGAUAAUUAAGGAGAGUUGAAUAUCUUCAUGUGUUUCUUGUUUCUAUAUCAAUAAAAUGCCUGUUAUAUCUUCA
Molecule: long non-coding RNA, 1489 nt
Organism: Mesoplodon densirostris (Blainville's beaked whale)
Lineage: Eukaryota; Metazoa; Chordata; Mammalia; Artiodactyla; Ziphiidae
Exons: 4
Source: RefSeq, a predicted model, not a curated record